RNAcentral lists this ribosomal RNA (1372 nucleotides) under uncultured bacterium. RNAcentral describes it as "bacterial SSU rRNA". It matches the Rfam family "Bacterial small subunit ribosomal RNA", at positions 28 to 1381 of the family's 1533-position model. The record is from RNAcentral.
GAUGAACGCUGGCGGCGUGCCUAAUACAUGCAAGUCGAGCGAACGGACGAGAAGCUUGCUUCUCUGAUGUUAGCGGCGGACGGGUGAGUAACACGUGGAUAACCUACCUAUAAGACUGGGAUAACUUCGGGAAACCGGAGCUAAUACCGGAUAAUAUUUUGAACCGCAUGGUUCAAAAGUGAAAGACGGUCUUGCUGUCACUUAUAGAUGGAUCCGCGCUGCAUUAGCUAGUUGGUAAGGUAACGGCUUACCAAGGCAACGAUGCAUAGCCGACCUGAGAGGGUGAUCGGCCACACUGGAACUGAGACACGGUCCAGACUCCUACGGGAGGCAGCAGUAGGGAAUCUUCCGCAAUGGGCGAAAGCCUGACGGAGCAACGCCGCGUGAGUGAUGAAGGUCUUCGGAUCGUAAAACUCUGUUAUUAGGGAAGAACAUAUGUGUAAGUAACUGUGCACAUCUUGACGGUACCUGAUCAGAAAGCCACGGCUAACUACGUGCCAGCAGCCGCGGUAAUACGUAGGUGGCAAGCGUUAUCCGGAAUUAUUGGGCGUAAAGCGCGCGUAGGCGGUUUUUUAAGUCUGAUGUGAAAGCCCACGGCUCAACCGUGGAGGGUCAUUGGAAACUGGAAAACUUGAGUGCAGAAGAGGAAAGUGGAAUUCCAUGUGUAGCGGUGAAAUGCGCAGAGAUAUGGAGGAACACCAGUGGCGAAGGCGACUUUCUGGUCUGUAACUGACGCUGAUGUGCGAAAGCGUGGGGAUCAAACAGGAUUAGAUACCCUGGUAGUCCACGCCGUAAACGAUGAGUGCUAAGUGUUAGGGGGUUUCCGCCCCUUAGUGCUGCAGCUAACGCAUUAAGCACUCCGCCUGGGGAGUACGACCGCAAGGUUGAAACUCAAAGGAAUUGACGGGGACCCGUACAAGCGGUGGAGCAUGUGGUUUAAUUCGAAGCAACGCGAAGAACCUUACCAAAUCUUGACAUCCUUUGACAACUCUAGAGAUAGAGCCUUCCCCUUCGGGGGACAAAGUGACAGGUGGUGCAUGGUUGUCGUCAGCUCGUGUCGUGAGAUGUUGGGUUAAGUCCCGCAACGAGCGCAACCCUUAAGCUUAGUUGCCAUCAUUAAGUUGGGCACUCUAAGUUGACUGCCGGUGACAAACCGGAGGAAGGUGGGGAUGACGUCAAAUCAUCAUGCCCCUUAUGAUUUGGGCUACACACGUGCUACAAUGGACAAUACAAAGGGCAGCGAAACCGCGAGGUCAAGCAAAUCCCAUAAAGUUGUUCUCAGUUCGGAUUGUAGUCUGCAACUCGACUACAUGAAGCUGGAAUCGCUAGUAAUCGUAGAUCAGCAUGCUACGGUGAAUACGUUCCCGGGUCU